UUGCACUGUUCGUAACCUGGCUCAGUCCUCAGUGUGAGCUGUGGGUUCCAUUCCAGUGCCACAGUAAAGCCCAGAGAGUAGCAGAGGUCGAGUACUGUUUCUCUGUUCACUCUCGCAGGACACUA
Salmo trutta (river trout) is the source of this 125-nucleotide small nucleolar RNA. Lineage: Eukaryota; Metazoa; Chordata; Actinopteri; Salmoniformes; Salmonidae. The record is from Ensembl.